UGACGAGCGAGAUCUUGAGAUAUACAAAGCCAUGUGGGAAAGAAAUUUACUGGGUGAAAGAAUCAUGUGAGAAACUGCUCCUCUUUUAUUAUGUUUAUGAUCAACUGAGGUAAAAUUAAAUAGGCUGACAGGUGCCAAGCACAGAGCCUGCGAAGAUGCAGUGGCCUUGGCAACAAUCACGGUCUUUGGAGCAUCGUGCCAAGGUAUCCCCGCAUCCUUCGAGGAGUUUCCUAGUGACAAUCCCGUUCUCCCCUGGAAAUUUUGUUAGCAAAAGUUAUGGUUAGAGAUCUGUAUUUUAACUUACCUAUUGCAAGUGCCAUCGAAACCACAAAAGAGAUGAACAAAAGCUGCAAAACCAUCCAUUGUGUUGUGCAAAUUGUUGCCUCGAAUAGGCUAGCUUUUAUACUCUGGGAGUGAAUGCCAUAUAAUAAAAUUAGGUCCGCUCUAAACAUC
RNAcentral lists this long non-coding RNA (453 nucleotides) under Selaginella moellendorffii. Its description in RNAcentral is "long non-coding RNA (SMOE_LNC001844)". Lineage: Eukaryota; Viridiplantae; Streptophyta; Lycopodiopsida; Selaginellales; Selaginellaceae. The record is from RNAcentral.